Molecule: long non-coding RNA, 1684 nt
Filed under: Crocodylus porosus (Australian saltwater crocodile)
Lineage: Eukaryota; Metazoa; Chordata; Crocodylia; Crocodylidae
Description: lncRNA (ENSCPRG00005012731.1)
Source: RNAcentral
CGGGCUCAAACUGGAGGAAAGUCAGCCACUUUGCUUGCAACAGCACAGUCAUUCUCGAUAACUCCUUUACCCCCUUGCACCUUUCCCCCCUCUGCAGCCUGUGACCCCUCACGCGGUGAUCUAGGAAAGCAGCACUGCAAGAGCACCACUGGACUCUGGCUAUUCGAAUGGCCUUCUGGAGCCAUAGGGCAGCUGAGGCACAACCUAGAGCUGUCCCAAAGCUGUCAGGGACUGAAGCAGAGUUAUGCUACAGGAGGAGGGACAUCUGUUUGCCUUCUGAACUUCAAGGUCAGCAGAGGAACGACCACCAGCUGCUCCAAAUGCACACUUACAAGUGAUGGCUCUUCCAUCAUUUGUCUCCAGCUCUCCUCCAGAAGAGUUCAGGAUCAAUCAUUCAACUGCAAUGUCACCAGGUCAAUAAAUUGGCAAAGACAGAAAUCUAAAAAUGCAUCCAUAAUAAGCAGAUUGAUGUUAGACCUACAGGAUUGUUAUUCAAAUGCAAUCAUUUUCUUGGGCCUACAGCAUCUGUUUCCAACUGUAGGACAAUGGAUUGGCAAAACAUCAGCUCCUUAUAGGAGAGAUCAAGGGGAUAAAUCAGAAAACCUGAAACAGCUGUAUUUUGUUGUAACAGGAAGCAGUUGUGCCUCAGAUAAGAUGAAGAUCCAUGCAUUUUCAAAGAGCUGAACAGGGCUUUAGGUAAUAAUUUUCAUGCUGUUAAGGAAAUCAUAAUCAUAGAAGUUCAGAGAUUCAAAAAAAAUCAGAGAUCUUUUAAGUUCAUUCCAAGCCAACAAAAUAUUUAUCCCCAUAUCAUAUUUUCUAGUCCUUUUUCAUAAUGGUUGGAGAAGGUGUUAUCCUGAUGGCUUGGCUUCUUUUAAAAAAGCACAGAAGUUCGAUAGCUAUAACCAAGGAUUCUGGUUUUCCCUGAUUAAAAAAAAAAAAUCACAAAUUCUCUGAUAAAAAUGGCAAAUUCUCUGAUAAAACCCCCCAAAUCUGUGAUUAAAAUGAAACAACCCCCAGCUCUGCUCAUGCUCCUUACUCCCCCCACAUCUCUCCCAGCCCUUCUGAACCAAGGUAACUUUAACCCAAAUCAGCAUAUAUUUACUCUUGAAGGAAUCAGGAAUGCAGAGGUGACACAUAGGGGGCAUACGGGGGUGCACGUGCACCCUCUGAGAGUGCCAGUGCACCCCCGUCAGGCUGCGCUCCCUGUGCAGCCGGCGAGCAGGGGGGCAGGUGGGAGCACUAAUGCCCCCCUGUGAGCACCAGCCGGGGAGCGGGGCUGCCAGCAAAAGCAACCCUGCUGCUUCUGGAAGUGGCCGUGGAGCUCCAGAAGUGGUGCAGCUGCUUUUACAGUAAGUGAGAUCGGCACCUCAAUGGCCAGCAGAAUUGGCCGCUGGGCCCCAGCCCUCCUUCCCCCCAUCCCCAGCCAGCGGGAUCGGCUGCCAGGGCACACCCCCUCACCCCCCCCGGUCGCUGACUGGUGUCAGGGUGGGGGCACAUGUCCCCCCUAACUCAAGAGGCACCAGACACCCAUGAAGGAAUGAACCUUUCCUGUUUUAAGUUUUAUCAGCUUAUGAGUCAUUUACUUGUAUCUGCCCAGGGUGGAAAUUUGCUAAAGGUAAAAAUACUCCCACUUUCUCCCCUGGCACCUAGGGCCAAAGCUCAUUAAAGGCCACAGGUGCUCCCA